This 449-nucleotide ribosomal RNA is filed under the name uncultured prokaryote. RNAcentral's name for it is "bacterial SSU rRNA". It matches the Rfam family "Bacterial small subunit ribosomal RNA", at positions 355 to 796 of the family's 1533-position model. The record is from RNAcentral.
UGGGGAAUAUUGGACAAUGGGGGCAACCCUGAUCCAGCAAUGCCGCGUGUGUGAAGAAGGCCUGCGGGUUGUAAAGCACUUUCAGUAGAGACGAAAAGCUUAGGGUUAAUACCCUUGAGUCUUGACUUAACCUACAGAAGAAGCACCGGCUAACUCCGUGCCAGCAGCCGCGGUAAUACGGAGGGGGUUAGCGUUGUUCGGAAUUACUGGGCGUAAAGCGCACGUAGGCGGAUCGGAAAGUUGGGGGUGAAAUCCCGGGGCUCAACCCCGGAACUGCCUCCAAAACUAUCGGUCUAGAGUUCGAGAGAGGUGAGUGGAAUUCCGAGUGUAGAGGUGAAAUUCGUAGAUAUUCGGAGGAACACCAGUGGCGAAGGCGGCUCACUGGCUCGAUACUGACGCUGAGGUGCGAAAGUGUGGGGAGCAAACAGGAUUAGAUACCCCUGUAGUCC